AGCUUUGUGCAUGGAUGGGCCUUUUGGAAAUUUAUAAUUUGGAUGUGAAACAAUUAUCUUAAAACAGUUAGCCAGAGCAGAGUGGACACACAAAUUUAUCUUCUUUCUCUCUCUCUUUUGGUGAGCAACAUCUAUCUUCCAUGACCUCUUGAUUACUGAAGCCUUCAAAAUAUAUUCUUUGGUCUGUGACACUGCGCUUGGUGCAGGUCUGAGCAUUAAAUAUCACCCUCCAUGAUUAAUUGGAAGUUAAUUAAAUCUAUCACUGAAACAAUGAGAAGGCAAUGAUCUAUGUAAUCAUUGAAAUAGUAAAUGAAAUGAUGUAAGGGCCCUCCAUUUCACUUAGUGACAGUGAUGGAGGGGUGCCUAAGCCCUGCUGCGCAGCUGUGUUUUCUGCCUGACCACACAGGCUGCUCAGGCAGACACUAACUUGCCAGUGAGCCGUGUGGCAGAGCAGAGCUAGCAGUGGCCUGCCAGACGCUGCUCUUCCUGUGCAUCUGACUCUUUGGAUGCUGUUCCAAUGACCUCUAAGGGACCUCAAUAUUUUGGGUGCGCAGUGCAAGUGGUGUGCCUGAUGUGCCAUUCCCAAGCGACAAAGCCUUUUGGUGCUGUGCGUGGAUCACCUUGCUGUUUUCAGCUGGAAUGACAGUGUUGCUGCAUUGAUCAUUGGAUAAGCAGUAACAUCACACUCAUUUUACAUUUUAAGGUAAUUGCAUCUAUAUAUAUUAAGGUAAAAUGCAUCUAUAGCUUUUUGAUAGUUCUGAAACUGAUGAUGUUCAUUCCGUCUUCAUAAGGCACGUCAUGCUCAUGAUCAUUUCCUUCUUAUUUCUCACUGACUGUUAAAAUGGUCUAAUAGUGAAGAAACCUAGAAAACAUGAAAGUACAGUUGGAAAGUAUAGUGUUGUAGCCAGUGUCCAGCCAAUUUCUCCAGCAGUAUUUUGAGGGGGAUAAAUGCAUUAAUAAUUUCCCUCCUUAAUCACAUUGUGAUAGAUUUUCCUUUUGGAAGCUAUUCCAGAGUGUGAAGAGAGGACUUAGUUGGGAUAUGCUUUGUAAUACUCAUUUUUCGGUUCAUAUGCGUGAUGAUAACACUAGAUACAACCCAGAGUACACCCUCUCUCACUUUGGAAACGAGAGAACAGCAAGCCUGAGCCAGAGGUCAGGAACUCACUGUUCCCUGUCUUUCCUUCCCCCUGUUUUUUUCCUGAGGCUAUCCCUGGGCACAUGUGCGCCCUGGUAUGAUAAAAGUCCAUGCUUUUCCUUUUCACAGGACAGGCUCAGCUCUUUGCCUUGGCUGUGUGGUCUCUCUAAGUGCACCUGGAAACUCCAAAGACUUGGUGAUUCAAAGGGAUUCCCUUAUUGUGCCCAUCGAUGCGGUUGUUAUGCACUGUUUAAUCAGGAGACAGAUUUGUCCAUGUAAUACUCACACAUCCAUGCCUUCCUCUCUGCUCUGGAUCUCUUAAUUCCCCUACUCCUGUAGCAGAAGUGGUUCUCUUCUCAUCUGGGCCAGCUCUUCAGGCAGUGUUGUAGCUCAUAGCUUUGCCACGGCAGUCCUUAGUAUUUCAGCAGCAGAAGGCAGCCCCUGCACGGGGAAGCUCCAAACCAAAGUACUAUACCGUUCUCAUCUCCACUGGAGUAGAAAUCGUCUGCAUCACACUCUGCUCCCCAGCCCUUGUCUCUUGCAUGUGUAUUUUAUUCUCUCCAGCAAUUUUCCACAGCAAAGAUCAGUGGCAGUGUACGCCAUGUGGGGUGAAAAGGACUUUCUGAAGAACCAUGACUCCUUUGGAAAUAAAAAUAUAUCAAAAACUGCUUUCCUCACACUCCUUACUCUGCAUGUGCCAGUUUCUGUGGUCUUUUCUUACAGAAUCUGUCGGAUUGGGUUUGGCAUAGGGACCUGAAAGCCAUCCUGUGGGAAGCUGCAUUUCCUGCCCCAGGUGACUCCCUGCUCUCACAAGGAGAUAUGGCCUGAGACCCUGCAAAUCCGACCACAUGGAAAGCUGUGGAAAGACGGCAAAAGGAGCUGUGUCAGUAGCACUUCAGAUGUGCUGCUGGUAGGAUGAGGAAGCAAAGGGUUUUCCAUCUGCUGGAAGGGCUUUUUGUGUAGAGGGCAACACUGCGGGGAUGCUUCUGCUGUCACUCACGGUGGGAGCUACAACUGUCAAGGACCAUCUCAGCAGCAGCACUGUUCCCUUGACAACAAAACGCUAUGGUGAGAAUUUACUGUAAUUAAGCUGCUUCGGUAAAGGAAACUUGAAAAGUUUAAGGAGGAGAUUAGAAAGGAGAAUACAAUUUUUCCUUUUGUGCUUCUCCUGCUGCCUGGAAAUGUGCCGCCAAUAUUCCUGAAGAUAUAUCCAUCACCAGCCUGCAAUUCUGCCGAACACUUUGUAGGUUUCAAAAAAAAAAAAAAAAAGACCUCAUGAUUCCUAUAGGCUCUCCAGCCCUUUCUUGUUUCUAAUUUCAAAGGCCCUUUUGAGUGGGAAACAAAAGGUUAAUUUUCUCCAGCUUGCCCAGGCUGACUUAAUGUAACAGAAGGCAGCAAAUUGUAUUGAUUUAGUGACAUGCAACUGUCCAGAAAGAGCUAUUUAUACAUUAUUCAGGACAAACACUGUCAUAAUGGACAAACAGCAGCAGCAUCUGGGAUGUUAAUGUCUACAAAUAAGAUUAUUCUUUGAAAGGAUUAGGACGAAGCAUUUUGUGUAAUUAGAUUUCUCAGUUUCAGGAAUGAAUUGCCUUUUAGCAGUGAAAGCUGUCACUGAGGGAGCCAUUAGCUCCUUAUAACUGAAUUAAAUGCAUAAUUAGUGACAUGAUCGCAUUAGGAUUUGUUUCAUUUUUAACUAAUCUGUGGCACGGGGGGGUGGUCUUUCCAGGUCGCUGCAGCCCACCUCAGCUGGGACCAGCCUCAGCUGGCGGGCUGGAGCUGGUAAAAGUCAGGCGCGUGUGAACAGGAGCCGGGGCCCCGCCACAGCGCUCGCGGGGCUAUUCAUCACUGGGUGCUGGGUGACAGUGACUGAUGGGCUCGGCCCGGGCCUGGCACUUCACCAGUGCAAGAAUCAUACGAGCCAGGGAGCAGAAUGACAGCUGGAGCGCCGUGUCAAGUGGUGUAGAGACCAGAGCUAUUAAUAAUCUCUGCCACAUGAUCUACACCGCCAGAAAACAAUGAUUUAGACGUUGGUGCGAAUAAAGAUUUCACAUUUAGUAUGGGGGGACCAGCCUAGUACUGGAGGAAUAAAUCGCUAUUCAAUCAGCAUGUAUGAAAAUAAGGCAAUGAAUACAUUACAGGUUACCUAAAAGGAGGGGUGUGUGUACGCCCUGGUUCGGGGUGAAUACUGUUAAUCACUAUUUCCUCAAGCUUCACUGAAGCCAGCAAGCAAUGACAUUAAGCGGUGGUGGAAGAGCCGCUGUGAAGGCUCUCCAGCCUAUUCGAGGUGGAGAAAGCGGGGAAAUCGCGUAGGUCCCAAAAUGCAGCGCUCUGUCCUCCUGGUCCUUGUGAGUCCUUGGGCAUGCUAUGGCUGCAGCAGAUCGUGCCCUGCUGGUCUCCAGCAGUGCAGCAGCUGGUUUCUGCUGAGGAAGCCCUUCCUGCAAGCAGGUGACCUUACUGCUGCAACUGCAGCUUUUGCAGCCUCUGCUGUGUCCAGGGACCAAACAAUAAUAAUGUGCACCAGCACAAACCAGACCUAGCAGCCAUGAGGAUCCAGGCGGGGCUGGGCUUUGCUCCCCAGAAGAGGCUCAGAGGUCACAUUGCUCCUCAGCCUCUCUACAUCACAGGGCAUUGACGCUCAGCCACGAACUUGGGGAGGCUCAGCAGAAGGUGCACUGCCACCAGAUGUUUGUUGCUUUAGUUCAGCUUCAGUGGCUGCUGUUAGUCUGCAAUCGCUCAAACUGCUGCGGUAUGCGGCAGAAUUUUGGAAUGGUGUUAAUGGCAGUUUUGUCCUCAGUUCUGGCUCUGCUCUGUCAGUUAAAUGCUGGUAGUGAGGAUUUGAAGUGCAUUUGAAGGGACAAGUAGCAGGACUGGAAUGUGCUCUUCAAUGUCUACAUGCUUCCUCCAAAUUCUAGGUUUUGCCGGGAUAAUUUAGAUAUUCCCUGUUACUUGAUGGUCAUAUUAGGGAUGACUUAGGCUGACAGAACAGGGAUUAAAGCUCCAAAUCCCAGAAUUCUGGCGCAGAUGGCA
Molecule: long non-coding RNA, 4162 nt
Organism: Cygnus olor (mute swan)
Lineage: Eukaryota; Metazoa; Chordata; Aves; Anseriformes; Anatidae
Exons: 4
Source: RefSeq, a predicted model, not a curated record